CUAUAAAGUCAAAAUAACAUCUAUAAGGUUUCUAAGAAGCUUCCAUAGUAAAUAUUAUAGAAUUUAUUUACUUUUAUCUACUUUUACUUACUUCUACCUAUUGUCAUGGACACAAAAAUACAGACUCGAGAUCUAACAAGAAGUUCAAGAAGAAUUGACAAGAACUAGAUUAAUCAGAUGAGAACAACACCAAAGAGGUGAGCUAGAGCUCCAAGAAAU
RNAcentral lists this long non-coding RNA (219 nucleotides) under Physcomitrium patens. RNAcentral's name for it is "long non-coding RNA (PPAT_LNC004326)". The record is from RNAcentral. Lineage: Eukaryota; Viridiplantae; Streptophyta; Bryopsida; Funariales; Funariaceae.